CUCGUAGGCGGCCAACUAAGUCAGACGUGAAAUCCCUCAGCUUAACUGGGGAACUGCGUCUGAUACUGGAUGGCUUGGAUUCGGGAGAGGGAUGCGGAAUUCCAGGUGUAGCGGUGAAAUGCGUAGAUAUCUGGAGGAACACCGGUGGCGAAGGCGGCAUCCUGGACCGAUAUUGACGCUGAGGAGCGAAAGCCAGGGGAGCGAAACG
RNAcentral lists this ribosomal RNA (208 nucleotides) under uncultured bacterium. RNAcentral's name for it is "partial 16S ribosomal RNA". It matches the Rfam family "Bacterial small subunit ribosomal RNA", at positions 568 to 775 of the family's 1533-position model. The record is from RNAcentral.